UACAUGCAAACAAAAAGAGUUUGGGCCCGUUUCCAUCGACACACUGCGCGUCCCAAACGCACGGGUCGGGCGGCUACAAGCGGUCGACAACUUAAAGGGAAAACUUGGGUAAACGAGUGGAGAAACACAACGGAUGAAGAUGCUGCCACACAGGUGCACUGCAUGUCCACAGGCUGCAGGAGUCCGGAGUGAUAUCCACAGGCUAACAGGCAAACAGGCUAACAAACGACUCGGAGCGAGCCAGCCCCGGAGCUCCCAGUCGGUCUCUUUGGUGUAAGGGUUGCAGUUCAGCAUGUACGGCACGCGUGGAGGGCAGCAACUCAUCAUACAAGGAAACACCGUAUGAUGGCGGGUCAUAAAGCUACAUGAAGAGCUACAGCACACAGGAGCACUGCUUCCGACGCUGCCGCCUCUGUAGCACCCCGCCUGCCUGGGAGAUCAGAUCCUCCACUGGUCGAACUUUGGGCAUUUGUGCUGGGAUCCCCACUUCCUGCCCUCACGUGUUUCCCGACACUGUGACUGUCUGCUCUGCCCCUAAUGUGCUGCACCUGUGUCUCAUUGUCUCCCCUCUCCUGGUGUAUUUAGUCUCUGUGCGAGUCUCUGUUCUCUAUAGCAAGCAUUCCAGCAAUUUCCCAGUGUUAGUAUUCACCGCGUGACUCUGUUCUUGUUUUUCUUAAACCUGGCCUUUGCCUAGCCUUCUGGUUUUGUUUGCCUGUUUCUGAUUCCCUGCCUGUGUACCAAUCCUUUUGCAAAGUACAUUUUUUGGUCUGAGUCAUGCAUUUGAGUCCCUGCCUUUUGGAAUCAGUGUGAUACCUGUAGUAGUAAACAACAGAGAGUCAGCAUACAAACUUUCCUUUAUUAUAAUGUUAACAAAAAUAGUUGUUCUUUAACUCUUGUUGGUCUAUUAACGUCAUCUUGACAAUUGACUGUUGAUUCCUUCAUGUGCUGCGCUGUGAUUAUUUUUCAAACCAUAUGCUUUUCUUCAUAUUCUAUGUAAUAUGUUCUUACCUUUUAAGUUUAGAAUUGUUAAUUGACCAUUAUGAAUGAGCUGAACGGUGUGACCUUUGUAUGUAAAACCUCAAUUAAAUGAAU
Molecule: long non-coding RNA, 1092 nt
Organism: Xiphias gladius (swordfish)
Lineage: Eukaryota; Metazoa; Chordata; Actinopteri; Istiophoriformes; Xiphiidae
Exons: 4
Source: RefSeq, a predicted model, not a curated record